CCCAUCAACCAUAAAGUUAACCAGAACUGUUGCCUGGGCUUUAUUGCCAAAUUCCCAGUACCCAGAUACCGCAACGCUGAAGAAAGUUGUGAUUACAACAGCAUAACUCACACAGUCCUUUAAACAUUUUCCCCUUGAGGUGGAGGACCCUUUAAACAUUUUCCCCUUGAGGUGGAGGACCUAUAGUUGCCUUCAAAUAGAGUAUAUUUUUGACAGUUUAUUCCUUAAUGCACAGUUCCGUCUGGCCUGGAAAGAAAGUAAAUGAACUGCCAACGCAGGAAACAGCCACCGCAAAAUCAAUGAGGCGAAUAAUCAUCAUCUGGUUUUGCAGAGCAAACUAUGUUAAAACAUGUCCUUUGAUACAAAAUCAUGCAUCCAUGGUUAUGAAGAGAGAUAUUUGAAGCUUA
Molecule: long non-coding RNA, 407 nt
Filed under: Populus trichocarpa (black cottonwood)
Lineage: Eukaryota; Viridiplantae; Streptophyta; Magnoliopsida; Malpighiales; Salicaceae
Description: long non-coding RNA (PTRI_LNC002625)
Source: RNAcentral